This 357-nucleotide unclassified non-coding RNA is filed under the name soil metagenome. RNAcentral describes it as "partial contains 5.8S ribosomal RNA, internal transcribed spacer 2, and large subunit ribosomal RNA". The stretch from base 1 to 120 matches the Rfam family "5.8S ribosomal RNA", at positions 35 to 154 of the family's 154-position model. The record is from RNAcentral.
GAUGAAGAACGUAGCGAAAUGCGAUAAGUAAUGUGAAUUGCAGAAUUCAGUGAAUCAUCGAAUUUUUGAACGCACAUUGCGCCCGUCAGUAUUCUGGCGGGCAUGCCUGUUCGAGCGUCAUUACGCCCCUCAAGUCCCCUGUGGACUUGGUGUUGGGGAUCGGCGAGGCUGGUUUUCCAGCACAGCCGUCCCUUAAAUUAAUUGGCGGUCUCGCCGUGGCCCUCCUCUGCGCAGUAGUAAAACACUCGCAACAGGAGCCCGGCGCGGUCCACUGCCGUAAAACCCCCCAACUUUUUAUAGUUGACCUCGAAUCAGGUAGGACUACCCGCUGAACUUAAGCAUAUCAAUAGCGGAGGA